GAGAUCUGUUACAUUGAAAAGAAACUGUGAUCACUGCCUGGAGAAUUUGUUGCUGAGGUCUAUAAGCUCAUUCAGAAAGUUUUUGUAGAAUUAUAUUAAAACAAGGAGGAGUAACAAACAAGGAUUAAAAAAUAUUUCAGCAUUAGUCAGAUGCCUGUCAGAGGAUGGAAUCAUCUGAGAAAACAGAGGAUCCUGCUUUACGUGAAUGAACUUUUCCCCUCAAUUAGUGCUUGUUCUUAAGGCACAAGAAAUCGGAUCCAGGGCUACAACAAACUGAGAAGAAAUCAGAGACUUGGCAAGCCCAAGUGGCUAAACCUGUUCCUGGUUCAGAAAAUGUAAUAUGAGAGGC
Molecule: long non-coding RNA, 349 nt
Organism: Sphaerodactylus townsendi
Lineage: Eukaryota; Metazoa; Chordata; Lepidosauria; Squamata; Sphaerodactylidae
Exons: 3
Source: RefSeq, a predicted model, not a curated record